GUAUGUGAAUUGAAGCAAACGAGCACCCAAUGAAUUAAAAAACAACAAAGAAUUAAUUAAGCCAUGAGUACUCCUUCUCUCGUGUUGCUUCCGUUCCUCUUCAUCGUCCUGUUAUGGCCAGCGGCGGCAACAUCAACGUUUUUACCACUGACAAGGCCCAAUUGCACUCGUCAAUGUGGUAGUAUCCAAGUUCCCUACCCCUUUGGCUUCGGAGCUGAUGGUGAAGAGUGUUUUUACACAGAAGAGUUUAAGCUAUUCUGCAACAACAGCUACAACCCUCCAAAACUGAUGAUGGGAAAUGACGUGGAAAUUAUCAAUCUUUCAUUUGACGGCCAAGUGACUGCG
Telopea speciosissima is the source of this 345-nucleotide long non-coding RNA. RefSeq lists it as uncharacterized. Lineage: Eukaryota; Viridiplantae; Streptophyta; Magnoliopsida; Proteales; Proteaceae. The record is from RefSeq and is a predicted model, not a curated record. The transcript has 3 exons.